This 2725-nucleotide ribosomal RNA is filed under the name Salmonella enterica subsp. enterica serovar Mikawasima. RNAcentral's name for it is "partial 23S ribosomal RNA". It matches the Rfam family "Bacterial large subunit ribosomal RNA". Lineage: Bacteria; Pseudomonadati; Pseudomonadota; Gammaproteobacteria; Enterobacterales; Enterobacteriaceae. The record is from RNAcentral.
UCCAUAGGUUAAUGAGGCGAACCGGGGGAACUGAAACAUCUAAGUACCCCGAGGAAAAGAAAUCAACCGAGAUUCCCCCAGUAGCGGCGAGCGAACGGGGAGGAGCCCAGAGCCUGAAUCAGCAUGUGUGUUAGUGGAAGCGUCUGGAAAGGCGCGCGAUACAGGGUGACAGCCCCGUACACAAAAGCGCAUGUGCUGUGAGCUCGAUGAGUAGGGCGGGACACGUGGUAUCCUGUCUGAAUAUGGGGGGACCAUCCUCCAAGGCUAAAUACUCCUGACUGACCGAUAGUGAACCAGUACCGUGAGGGAAAGGCGAAAAGAACCCCGGCGAGGGGAGUGAAAAAGAACCUGAAACCGUGUACGUACAAGCAGUGGGAGCACCCUUUGGGGUGUGACUGCGUACCUUUUGUAUAAUGGGUCAGCGACUUAUAUUCUGUAGCAAGGUUAACCGAAUAGGGGAGCCGGAGGGAAACCGAGUCUUAAUUGGGCGUUAAGUUGCAGGGUAUAGACCCGAAACCCGGUGAUCUAGCCAUGGGCAGGUUGAAGGUUGGGUAACACUAACUGGAGGACCGAACCGACUAAUGUUGAAAAAUUAGCGGAUGACCUGUGGCUGGGGGUGAAAGGCCAAUCAAACCGGGAGAUAGCUGGUUCUCCCCGAAAGCUAUUUAGGUAGCGCCUCGUGAAUUCAUCUCCGGGGGUAGAGCACUGUUUCGGCUAGGGGGCCAUCCCGGCUUACCAACCCGAUGCAAACUGCGAAUACCGGAGAAUGUUAUCACGGGAGACACACGGCGGGUGCUAACGUCCGUCGUGAAGAGGGAAACAACCCAGACCGCCAGCUAAGGUCCCAAAGUCAUGGUUAAGUGGGAAACGAUGUGGGAAGGCCCAGACAGCCAGGAUGUUGGCUUAGAAGCAGCCAUCAUUUAAAGAAAGCGUAAUAGCUCACUGGUCGAGUCGGCCUGCGCGGAAGAUGUAACGGGGCUAAACCAUGCACCGAAGCUGCGGCAGCGAACGUAUCACUUAAAGCGAUUCAGCGGGUUACGAUUGACGGAGCGAAGCGACGUCAAAGCGUAUACAAAGUCGAGUCGGUUUAAGGAUACGUUCGUUGGGUAGGGGAGCGUUCUGUAAGCCUGUGAAGGUGGCCUGUGAGGGUUGCUGGAGGUAUCAGAAGUGCGAAUGCUGACAUAAGUAACGAUAAAGCGGGUGAAAAGCCCGCUCGCCGGAAGACCAAGGGUUCCUGUCCAACGUUAAUCGGGGCAGGGUGAGUCGACCCCUAAGGCGAGGCCGAAAGGCGUAGUCGAUGGGAAACGGGUUAAUAUUCCCGUACUUGGUGUUACUGCGAAGGGGGGACGGAGAAGGCUAUGUUGGCCGGGCGACGGUUGUCCCGGUUUAAGCGUGUAGGUGUGUGUUCCAGGUAAAUCCGGUUCACUUUAACACUGAGGCGUGAUGACGAGGCACUACGGUGCUGAAGCAACAAAUGCCCUGCUUCCAGGAAAAGCCUCUAAGCAUCAGGUAACAUCAAAUCGUACCCCAAACCGACACAGGUGGUCAGGUAGAGAAUACCAAGGCGCUUGAGAGAACUCGGGUGAAGGAACUAGGCAAAAUGGUGCCGUAACUUCGGGAGAAGGCACGCUGACACGUAGGUGAAGUGAUUUACUCAUGGAGCUGAAGUCAGUCGAAGAUACCAGCUGGCUGCAACUGUUUAUUAAAAACACAGCACUGUGCAAACACGAAAGUGGACGUAUACGGUGUGACGCCUGCCCGGUGCCGGAAGGUUAAUUGAUGGGGUCAGCGCAAGCGAAGCUCCUGAUCGAAGCCCCGGUAAACGGCGGCCGUAACUAUAACGGUCCUAAGGUAGCGAAAUUCCUUGUCGGGUAAGUUCCGACCUGCACGAAUGGCGUAAUGAUGGCCAGGCUGUCUCCACCCGAGACUCAGUGAAAUUGAACUCGCUGUGAAGAUGCAGUGUACCCGCGGCAAGACGGAAAGACCCCGUGAACCUUUACUAUAGCUUGACACUGAACAUUGAGCCUUGAUGUGUAGGAUAGGUGGGAGGCUUUGAAGUGUGGACGCCAGUCUGCAUGGAGCCGACCUUGAAAUACCACCCUUUAAUGUUUGAUGUUCUAACGUGGACCCGUAAUCCGGGUUGCGGACAGUGUCUGGUGGGUAGUUUGACUGGGGCGGUCUCCUCCUAAAGAGUAACGGAGGAGCACGAAGGUUGGCUAAUCCUGGUCGGACAUCAGGAGGUUAGUGCAAUGGCAUAAGCCAGCUUGACUGCGAGCGUGACGGCGCGAGCAGGUGCGAAAGCAGGUCAUAGUGAUCCGGUGGUUCUGAAUGGAAGGGCCAUCGCUCAACGGAUAAAAGGUACUCCGGGGAUAACAGGCUGAUACCGCCCAAGAGUUCAUAUCGACGGCGGUGUUUGGCACCUCGAUGUCGGCUCAUCACAUCCUGGGGCUGAAGUAGGUCCCAAGGGUAUGGCUGUUCGCCAUUUAAAGUGGUACGCGAGCUGGGUUUAGAACGUCGUGAGACAGUUCGGUCCCUAUCUGCCGUGGGCGCUGGAGAACUGAGGGGGGCUGCUCCUAGUACGAGAGGACCGGAGUGGACGCAUCACUGGUGUUCGGGUUGUCAUGCCAAUGGCACUGCCCGGUAGCUAAAUGCGGAAGAGAUAAGUGCUGAAAGCAUCUAAGCACGAAACUUGCCCCGAGAUGAGUUCUCCCUGAGACUUAGAGUC